RNAcentral lists this ribosomal RNA (562 nucleotides) under uncultured bacterium. RNAcentral's name for it is "bacterial SSU rRNA". It matches the Rfam family "Bacterial small subunit ribosomal RNA", at positions 338 to 916 of the family's 1533-position model. The record is from RNAcentral.
CCUACGGGAGGCAGCAGUGGGGAAUCUUGCGCAAUGGGCGAAAGCCUGACGCAGCAACGCCGCGUGUGGGAAGAAGGCUUUCGGGCUGUAAACCGCUUUCAGCAGGAACGAAAAUGACGGUACCUGCAGAAGAAGGAGCGGCCAACUAUGUGCCAGCAGCCGCGGUGAUACAUAGGCUUCAAGCGUUGUCCGGAUUUAUUGGGCGUAAAGAGUUCGUAGGCGGUCGAGUAAGUCGGGUGUGAAAAUUCUGGGCUCAACCCAGAGACGCCACCCGAUACUGCUUGACUUGAGUUCGAUAGGGGAGUGGGGAAUUCCUAGUGUAGCGGUGAAAUGCGCAGAUAUUAGGAGGAACACCGGUGGCGAAGGCGCCACUCUGGAUCGAUACUGACGCUGAGGAACGAAAGCAUGGGUAGCAAACAGGAUUAGAUACCCUGGUAGUCCAUGCCGUAAACGGUGGGCACUAGGUGUGGGUUUCUAUUAACGAAAUCCGCGCCGUCGCUAACGCAUUAAGUGCCCCGCCUGGGGAUACGGUCGCAAGACUAAAACUCAAAGGAAUUGACGG